Molecule: RNase P RNA, 231 nt
Filed under: Betaproteobacteria bacterium HGW-Betaproteobacteria-7
Lineage: Bacteria; Pseudomonadati; Pseudomonadota; Betaproteobacteria
Description: partial RNase P RNA component class A
Rfam family: Bacterial RNase P class A
About the family: Ribonuclease P (RNase P) is a ubiquitous endoribonuclease, found in archaea, bacteria and eukarya as well as chloroplasts and mitochondria. Its best characterised activity is the generation of mature 5'-ends of tRNAs by cleaving the 5'-leader elements of precursor-tRNAs. Cellular RNase Ps are ribonucleoproteins.
Source: RNAcentral
AAAGUCGGCCAGGCAAUCGCUGGAUACUUCGGUAUCGGGAGGAAAGUCCGGGCUCCGCAGGGCAGGAUGCCAGCUAACGGCUGGGUGCUAUAAGUCGCAAGACCCAAGGCAACGGAAAGUGCAACAGAGAACAGACCGCCGAUGGCGUCGCAAGACGCACAGGUAAGGGUGAAACGGCGAGGUAAGAGCUCACCGCGUCCACGGUAACGGCGGACGGCACGGUAAACCCCA